GAUGAACGCUGGCGGCGUGCCUAAUACAUGCAAGUCGAGCGAACAGAUGAGGAGCUUGCUCCUCUGACGUUAGCGGCGGACGGGUGGGUAACACGUGGAUAACCUACCUAUAAGACUGGGAUAACUUCGGGAAACCGGAGCUAAUACCGGAUAAUAUAUUGAACCGCAUGGUUCAAUAGUGAAAGACGGUUUUGCUGUCACUUAUAGAUGGAUCCGCGCCGCAUUAGCUAGUUGGUAAGGUAACGGCUUACCAAGGCAACGAUGCGUAGCCGACCUGAGAGGGUGAUCGGCCACACUGGAACUGAGACACGGUCCAGACUCCUACGGGAGGCAGCAGUAGGGAAUCUUCCGCAAUGGGCGAAAGCCUGACGGAGCAACGCCGCGUGAGUGAUGAAGGUCUUCGGAUCGUAAAACUCUGUUAUUAGGGAAGAACAAAUGUGUAAGUAACUAUGCACGUCUUGACGGUACCUAAUCAGAAAGCCACGGCUAACUACGU
This 496-nucleotide ribosomal RNA is filed under the name uncultured bacterium. Its description in RNAcentral is "partial 16S ribosomal RNA". It matches the Rfam family "Bacterial small subunit ribosomal RNA", at positions 28 to 506 of the family's 1533-position model. The record is from RNAcentral.